UACGUAGGGUGCAAGCGUUGUCCGGAAUUAUUGGGCGUAAAGAGCUCGUAGGCGGUUUGUCGCGUCUGCUGUGAAAACCCAGGGCUUAACCCUGGGCCUGCAGUGGGUACGGGCAGACUAGAGUGCGGUAGGGGAGAUCGGAAUUCCUGGUGUAGCGGUGAAAUGCGCAGAUAUCAGGAGGAACACCUAUUGCGAAGGCAGCUCGCUGGGACGUAACUGACGCUGAGACGCGAAAGCGUGGGGAGCAAACAGG
This 253-nucleotide ribosomal RNA is filed under the name uncultured bacterium. Its description in RNAcentral is "partial 16S ribosomal RNA". It matches the Rfam family "Bacterial small subunit ribosomal RNA", at positions 524 to 776 of the family's 1533-position model. The record is from RNAcentral.